RNAcentral lists this unclassified non-coding RNA (2340 nucleotides) under Hevea brasiliensis (rubber tree). The record is from RNAcentral. Lineage: Eukaryota; Viridiplantae; Streptophyta; Magnoliopsida; Malpighiales; Euphorbiaceae.
AUGCAUAAUGCCAUUGCCAAACAAGCCUAUUAUUAUUUACAGGCUUUCAAAAAUAUUUUCUAGUCCUGUCAAACACACCCACACGCGAAAAAUUCAAAACAACUGGUAUAAUUCCAACUGGCUAUUUCAAUUAUCAUUUUCCAACAUGGGCCCCACCACCCACUCCUUUGUAUACUUUUUUCUUCGGUCUUCCUUUCCUUUAUUACCCAUCACCUCCUCCCAUGGAAAUUUUCAAACUCAUCUCAUCCGUCCGAUUGUAACUGCUCUUUGACUUCCAGCCCCUCUUUCUCUCUCCCCUCUCACCCGGUCAUCCGGUCACUCCUUCCCCUAUAUCUCCCCCCUCUUGUUCCCUUCUCCUCCCUACUUUCCUCUUCCUCGCAUACCUAAAACCUUCUGCGUUUUAGGCUUUCAUGGCUUGUUGAAGCUGCUGUUUUCUUUUGCUUUGGAUUUUACUUUCUGUUUUGCUUCGAGUCCUCAAAAAUGGCAGUCGAGCUUAUGAGCUUUACAAAAAUGGAAGAUCAGAUGGCUAUACAAGAGGCUGCAUCACAAGGCUUGAAGAGUAUGGAGCACUUCAUCCGUCUCAUGUCUCACCAAUCUAACCAUCACGUGGAUUGCACGGACCUCACAGACCUCACCGUCUCCAAGUUCAAAAAAGUCAUCUCUCUUCUCAAUCGGACCGGUCAUGCCCGAUUCAGACGCGGACCGGUUCAGUCUUCCUCUUCUUCACUUUCCUUGUCAUCCGCACCGACUGGGUCAGCCUCUCGCUCCCAAAAUUUAAACCAAACGCCGAGUCAUGUUACGGCUCCGGCUACUGUACACCAGGCACCUGUCGUCCAUUCGGUUACAGCUCCUCAGGUUCCGAUCGCGGCACCGACAAGCUUUGUUCAGUCACAGCCGCAGAGUUUGACUCUGGACUUCACAAAACCUAGCAUAUUUAGCUCUAAUGGUAGAAACUCAGAGCUUGAGUUCACAAAAGAAAGUUUUAGCGUGUCAUCUAGUUCAUCUUUCAUGUCCUCGGCUAUAACUGGAGACGGUAGCGUUUCAAAUGGGAAGCAAGGAUCAUCGAUUUUCUUGGCACCUGCAGUCUCCGGCGGCAAGCCCCCGCUUUCAUCUGGGCCGUACAACAAGAAGCGGUGCCACGAGCACGAUCAAUCCGAUGAUAUGUCUGGAAAGUUCUCGGGAUCUGCCAGCGGCAAGUGCCAUUGCUCCAAGAGAAGGUAUGUGGUUAUCUUUGAUUACGGCGAAUUUUUGCAUUGUCCUUUGUGCGUUUUAGCUUUUGAGUGGCUCUAAGUUGGUUGAGUCUUAAUAGCGCGAUACUAGUACUAUUGACAUAAACCAGACGUAGUGGGGUAUAACUGGGAUAAACUAGGUCGAGUUGGAUGCGAGUAAUUCGAGUUAACUCUGAUUUGCAUCAGUGAAACGAGUUGGGGUUGGGGUCAAAGGUUUGUGUCGUUGAGCUGUUUGGCUAUUUUAGUGGACACAGCGCGCGUGAUAGUGACUUGAGAUGAUGAUCCUUCUCAACUUGGAAUAGGUGAAAUUAAUCAAAAUGGUCGAACUUGGGUGUUGUAUUGUUUUUGUCGUUAUACGUGGUUGCUUGGUAGACAUGGUCUCUUAACUUUGACCGCUGACAAGUCGGCGCACUAUAGCAACAUAUGCGCAUGAUAGGGGAAUGGCAAUAAUAAUAAUAAUAAUAGUAGUGUCAGUAAAUAAUUAUGAAAAUAAUUAUUUGAUCGAGGAAUAAUUAUAUUUGUUUAUUCAAUUUUUUUAGGAAAAAUCGGGUGAAGAAAACAAUUAGAGUACCAGCGAUUAGUGCGAAAAUCGCCGAUAUCCCACCAGACGAGUACUCCUGGAGAAAGUACGGUCAAAAGCCAAUCAAGGGGUCACCAUACCCACGGUAACUACAAUGAUCAUUCAUUUACAACCAUUGAGCUUGUCGUUCGAUUAAAUCAGGCAGCAAGUUGACUCUUUGUCUUGUUUGUUUCAGGGGAUAUUACAAGUGUAGUACUUUUAGAGGGUGCCCUGCCAGGAAGCACGUAGAACGGGCCAACGACGAUCCGACGAUGCUGAUUGUGACAUAUGAGGGGGAGCACCGCCACGCUCAACCUGCGAUGCAGGAUAACUUGAGCGGUGGUGUAGGGCUAGUGUUCGAGUCAACGUGAAAGAGAGAAACGUAGAGGACGGAGUAAUAAACAAAUAGUAUAGAAAAAGACGAGUUAGACUUGGAGUAAUAUCGAGGUGGGUGGGAUUGGAUUGUAUAUUUUCUGUAUCGGAAGCCAAAGCCAUGUUCAAAGUUAAUUAAAAAAAAUUCUAAUUAUUUGUAAAAACUUCGUUAUUUUUUUU